RNAcentral lists this transfer RNA (55 nucleotides) under Thyreophagus entomophagus. Its description in RNAcentral is "tRNA-Gly". The record is from RNAcentral. Lineage: Eukaryota; Metazoa; Arthropoda; Arachnida; Sarcoptiformes; Acaridae.
AAUCUUGUAGUAUAAUAAGUAUGCUUAAUUUCCAAUUAAGAGGUUUUCAUGGUUA